RNA transcript from Mus musculus (house mouse), 6172 nucleotides. It is a transcript of the gene named sorting nexin 19, with no coding region annotated. The record is from RefSeq and is marked provisional. The transcript is spliced from 11 exons. NCBI's taxonomy places the organism in Eukaryota, Metazoa, Chordata, Mammalia, Rodentia, Muridae.
GGGGCGUCCGUGGCUCCGAUCCACCAGGCCGCUCUCCCAGCGUACCCCGCUCCCGCAGGCCGCGACCCGGAAGCUGUCGCCGGCUGCUAGCCGGCCCGCUGCUCUGUCCACUUUGGAGUUGCGGAGUGUAGUGGCCUGGGCGGCCGGAGCUUGUUGUGGCUGCUGGCCGCGGCGGUCGGAAGGAUCCCCACCCCCCCAAGAGUUCGUUCCCAGGGGCGCAGUCUGAGCACGGGUCCCCCAGCGACGUGUGACCCGAUCUGCCGGCUGCUGCUUCGGAGUUCGUAAGUGUCCGUGGGCCGCGCGGGGCUGCGAAGAGACUCUCCGCCUGGGCCAUGAUGGAGGCCGGCAAAGUUUUCCUCAUCUCGGCUGGAACAGGCUAGUUGAUGGGCCCUGUCGACAGAAGCGAGCGGGAGAAGCAGAGCUUUUUCUGUCGCUCUGCAGUGCCAGUAGUAUCGAAGGUCCAGAGUUCACUCAGUAGCAGCUGGACUUGUUCUCUUCGGUGACAGUUCAUGCUCCCACUCCUGACACCAAAAUAAAAUCGGAGGCUGUCAUCUGUGGAAACAUACCUGUCCUUUCAACCAUGAAGGCACAAACAGUGUCCCCUACCCAGGGGACUAUCUCCGAGUCCAGUUAUGUCCACAGCAAUCUAUGGAGUAGCCGGAAGCUAAUGAUCGUGGGGGUCUUGGUGGGCUGGCUACUGGUCAUCCACCUUCUGGUCAACAUGUGGCUUCUGAUCCUUCUAUGUGCAUCGCUGGUAGCGCUGGGAGGAUGGCUGGGCUCCACUGCCAUCCUAGGGGCUUCAGGUCAAUUGCACCUGGAACGAUUCAUUACCAUCACCACCUGUCCUCCAUGUCCCGAGGCAGAAAGGCAGCUGGAACAGGAGAUUAACCGCACUAUCCAGAUGAUUAUCCGAGACUUCGUGUUAUCCUGGUAUCGUUCUGUGAGCCAUGAGCCGGCCUUCGAGGCAGAGAUGGAGGCAGCCAUGAAAGGGUUGGUUCAGGAGCUUCGAAGGCGGAUGAGCAUAGUGGACAGCCAUGCUCUUACCCAGAGGGUUCUGACUCUCUGUGGUUGUCACCUGCAGAGCUAUAUUCAGGCAAAGGAGGCUACUGCAAAGGAGCAGAGCUGUCCAGUUCAGCCCUCCCAGCUGUGGGAUGCUUACUGCCAGGUUACAGCUCCCCAUCCUGCCAUGAGCUGUCCCACCACGGAGGUCACUUAUGCACGUGGCAUUGUGAACUUGAUACUAAAAGAGUUAGUGCCCAAGCCCCACCUGGAGACGAGGACUGGACGCCACGUUGUGGUUGAAGUUAUUACUUGCAAUGUCAUCUUACCACUGAUCAGCAAGCUAUCAGAUCCUGACUGGAUCCACCUUAUUCUUGUGAGUAUCUUUUCCAAGUACAGACAUGAUGCAGCACAGGGAACUAAACCCCCCUGCUCAUCCAGUGUCCUAGAGCAGCCCUCGGUGCCCACAUCUCUGCCAUUGAUUGUUGAAGUAGAGAGUCUGCCAGUAGGAAAAGCAUCUUCUCCAGCAACAGCCCCAGUACACUUGACCUCCAGUGAGCCAGCCCCUUCCCCAGAGAUUGAAGAAGGCCAUGAAGCUGUAGAGGGAGAUUUGCCUGGGAUGCUCGAAGAAAAAAAAGUAGGAAAUAGCUCAUCCCAUUUUCUACAGCCAGAUAUCCGAGGCCCCUUGUUCUUAUGUGAAGACUCAGAACUGGAGUCACCACUGUCUGAACUGAGCAAAGAAACCAUCCUGCUAAUGACCCCAGGCAACUUCCUUUCUGACAGGAUUCAAGAUGCUCUGUGUGCCCUAGACGACUCCGGGGCUCUGGAGCCUAAGGAUGGCGAGGGAUCUGAAUGUAUGGAAGGAGCAGAGGCCGAGGAGGCCCCAGGGACAGACACAGAGACAGGCAUGCUGGUCUCCGUGCUUAAUUGCCCAGAGAUCCAGAUUGACACAGCAGACAAGGAGGUGGAGCAAGGAGAUGACACCUCUCUUACAGCUUUGCUGGAGGAACCAGAAAAACCCUGCCCCCUACGGCCCUCAUGUUUAGACAAAGAUCUCGCCAGUGGUGUGUGCUCCCUUGAACCUGCUAUGCCCCCAGUGCCUCUUUCCUCCUCUCCACCUGGUCCUCUCAGCUCAGCCACCUUCAGCUUCGAGUCCCUGAGCAGUCCAGACGGCCCGGUUGUCAUCCAGAACCUUCGAAUCACUGGCACCAUCACUGCCCGAGAGCACAGUGGGACUGGAUUCCACCCAUACACACUGUACACUGUGAAGUACGAGACUGUCCUUAAUGGCGAGAACAGCAGCGGCCUACAGCAGCUGGCCUAUCACACCGUGAACCGCCGCUACCGGGAGUUCUUGAAUCUGCAGACCCGCCUGGAGGAGAAACCAGAUCUACGAAAGUUUAUCAAAAAUGUGAAGGGUCCAAAAAAGCUCUUUCCAGAUCUUCCGUUUGGAAACAUGGAUAGUGACAGAGUAGAAGCCAGGAAGAGCCUCCUGGAGUCAUUCCUGAAGCAACUCUGCGCCAUUCCUGAGAUUGGCAACAGUGAGGAGGUGCAGGAGUUCCUUGCUCUGAACACAGAUGCUCGGAUUGCCUUUGUCAAGAAACCAUUCAUGGUCUCUAGGAUAGACAAGAUGGUGGUCCAGACUGAGGUUUUCAUCCAGUAAAAUUGCCCCUGCACUGAGUAUAGCCGAGGCACAGGACAAGAUUCUGUACUGCCUCCAGGAAGGCAAUUCGGAGUCAGAAGUCCUGUCCAUGUCUGGGAUGGAGUCUUUCAUUGAAAAACAGACAAAGUUACUGAGAAUCCAGCCAGCAGAAGUCCCGGAUAAAGAUCCCCAGCAAGUGCCCAAAGAAUAUGUGGAUAGCGGUCUGCUGGACAAAGCUGUGGUAGCCCAAGAGCUCAACAAGAGUGGCCCGGGAACGGAGACAGAGUUAGCCGACACGGCCUUUGAUCUGAUCCUCCUGCUGUUGAUGGAGCAAUGGAAGUGGCUGUGUACUGAAAGCAUGCAGAAGUUCCUCCACAUUAUUUUUGGCACACUAGUUCAGAGGUGGCUAGAAGUGCAGGUGGCUAAUCUAACAUGUCCCCAGCGCUGGGCACAGUACCUCCAUCUUCUUCGGGAAUCUAUCUGGCCUGGUGGAGUGCUGCCCAAGUUUCCACGGCCUGGAAGGACGCAGGCACAGAAAGCAGCUACGGAGAAGCAGGCUUUGCAGAGCUUGAUGGAUCUCCUUCCAGAUUUUUUGGUAGAAAUCCUGGGAGUGAACAAGUGUCGGCUGAGCUGGAGUCUUGUCUUGGAGUCAUUCCAGCAGCCCCUCAUCAACAGACAUUUGAUUUACUGCCUUGGAGACAUUAUCCUGGAGUUGCUGGACCUCAGUGCCUCUGUUGAAGAGUGUGCCCCAGCUACCUCUGCCUCAGAUUCCCCAGGAAGCCUCAAGAAGAUGGCUGUCUCCACUUAGCUAAAACACCAUCUCCAAAGGCUUGAAAAAGAGAGCUGUUCAGCUUCCAGAAACAGCUAAGAUACCUGUGCCCUCUGGAGCUAAGCUAGCUUAGCUAGCCUCCAUCUCAGGGGCUCAGUUCCCCUACCAGGUCUCCCUUAGUAGCACAUGACGGAGCUACAUAGCCUAUUUGCAUGUGUACCUGUUUCCAUAGUCUUUGGCAUGUGGAUUGCUGCGGAGAGGAGGUCUUGUUUCCUUGAGAACAGAAGCUGUGAAGCAAAGGCUAUUUAUCCCUUUGCCUUCUCACCAUCACGGUUUGCCAACAGCAUGGCCCUGCGCAUGCGUGAACCUAAUCCACAAAUGUGCAAGUGGCAGGUGACACAGGAGAAACAAUGGAGCCAGAUUUCCUGGGGGGAGAAGCAGUCUCCUGAGCUCUCUUUUCCUAGCUGGAAACCAAACGUUCAUUCAGGAUCACUCCCUUACCCUGCCCAGUUCCCAACAAUUCCAGAAGAAGAGGGAAGGAAAGUGUGUCUCCAGGGACUUGCUCUUUGGCUAUUUUCUGACACAGUGGACUUCUAAAGGAUGUCAAGAAGGCUGCUUCCUAGGGUGGCUAUACUUUUCCUGUCCAGAGGCUUCAAAGCACACUGUCAAACUUCUGGUAAAGCCACUCCACCCUUCACACCCUUUCCUGCGAGGGAUUAGACAGCAGAUUUCCUUAACUUUCCUCCCAGCCCCUACCCAAAAGCAAAUGCGUUUUGGAUUUGUAACUUUCCUUCUAUCAACAGAAUUGCAUGGCAAGUUACGUAUUUGGUCUCAGUAUUUCCAAAGAGAAAGGAAAGUACUUGUUCCAUGGCUGAGGGUGUACAAAGAAUAGAAGUCAGGGGAUGAGUGGGGAUCCCUCCACAAGAUUCUGGCAAGAAUAAUAUAGCAAACUUGCGGAUACAGAUUUUACUUUCUGUUCCUUAAAUAUUGAAUUAGUCCUUAGGAGGCCAGGAAUAAAGGCAGAACAGUCUGUGUCCACUGGAAAGAUGGAGCAACUGAGAGCAGCUGUUAGAAGAAAAGGGAGUUGGAGGGAAAGUCACAAGGUGAGUGCUGCUGCCCAGUGAGUGCACAUGAGUAGCUGGCAUCCCCAGGGUACCCAUGAGAGACCAUAGCCAACCCUCAGCUCAGGAGGUCUGUGUUGUGUAGCUCUAGCCUUGCUAUACUCAACUACAGAACCCACAGGGAUGGAGGUCAUGGGGAAAGCCUGGUAAGAACUGGGAAGGCAUCAAGAGCCAGCAUCAAAGUUGUCACAGACUCUGAAGUGUGUGAUGAACACACAAUUAAAGUUGUUCAUAGAAAAAAAGGUUGUGAAAUUGUUUUAGUCUCCUGUCCUGAGAGGCUCGUAACUGUACAUUACACUCUGAUGUGACUGGGAGGGUUCUGGCUUAAAAAGAAAAAACAGUGAAUGAGAUAAAGUUUUAUGGCCUCUUCUGGCCUUGAAGCUUGACUUGAUGGCUCCAUAGUUUUUGAAGUAUCCCCUUCCCUAGACCCUCAGAGGCAAAGAUAAUUCAACAUGUCCUCUGAGUGCCUGCUAGGGAUAUGGUUUCAAGGGGAUGCCUUAGAACUGAUCCUGUGGCUCCUAGGGUAAAGGCCACUUUAUUCUGUAUUGGCGGAAUGAGCAACCCUGAUUUCUGAACAGGCUUCUCUCCCAACACCCACCCCCUUCGCAUGACCACAGCCACCUGUGUCCACUUGAAUCUGCUACCAGUCCUGGUACACAUGUGCACAAGCACUGUUAACCCAACACACCACGAGUUCCUGUGGCAAUGAAGUCUAAGGGAUCUUUUCAUGCCUGCAGCCCAGAGAACUUCCCUAUGCUUCAUUUUAUAUAAGAGGACACACUUUUACUCCACCUGCCUUCAAAAGAUAAGCCAUCCUCAAGAGGGAAAUAAUAAAUAUAACCAAGGAUAUAUCAAAACCUCUCUGACUUGGAAAAAGGUUAGUAGCAGGCUCCAACCUCAAGAUCAUGAGCAUGUGGGAGAGCCACGGGUGUUGGGGUGAUGCUCCAGGCUGGGAGUGGGAACGGAGGGAGAACUGAGCCACACUAGUCCACUUGAUUUCUUCCCUGUUUGUUUGGCUUUUUAAGGACCCAGUUUGUUCAUUUAAUUGAGAAUAUUAGUACCUGAAGUAAGACCAACACCCAUUCUGUCUUGAUUGCACAUUUGUAAGAAGAGGAGAGAUGGGUGGAUACUGAGCUCUUUCUGGCAAUUUCUAAAUGCCAUCCUUGCUGUCAUUUAUUAAAGUUCAAGAUCGCUGUAUAUAAUUAUACAAUUUUAUAUAAAUAUAACAUAUAGUAGCCCGUGAUUUUUAUUUCCAAGCUUCUGGAUUAGGUUUUGUAGAGCCUAGAGGGAAAACACUCUCCUAAACCCAAGCCUAGGAAAUGUGAGAACUGAACACUAAUGGAUGUUGCCUGACUGCCAUUUUGAAGUUUCUAGCACAUGGCAUGCUCUUUUGUUGUACGGGUGCCAUGGAGUUUUUUCUGUGAACACUGUUGCACACCACAUAUCUAGAUUCUCAUCAUGUAUAACUUUAGACUCCAUGAUCAGCAAGCUCCCCUGUCCCCUGGAGGGUGGUGGUGGUGGGUCUGGUGGUCACCGUUCCACAUUCUGUGUAUGUGCAUCUAUACACUACAAGUGAAGUUGUGUAGUGUGCGCCCUGUAACAGGCUUACUUCACUUGGCAUUAUAGCUUCUGGUGCAUCUC